GAUGAACGCUGGCGGCGUGCCUAAUACAUGCAAGUCGAGCGAACGGACGAGAAGCUUGCUUUUCUGAUGUUGGCGGCGGACGGGUGAGUAACACGUGGAUAACCUACCUAUAAGACUGGGAUAACUUCGGGAAACCGGAGCUAAUACCGGAUAAUAUUUUGAACCGCAUGGUUCAAAAGUGAAAGACGGUCUUGCUGUCACUUAUAGAUGGAUCCGCGCUGCAUUAGCUAGUUGGUAAGGUAACGGCUUACCAAGGCAACGAUGCAUAGCCGACCUGAGAGGGUGAUCGGCCACACUGGAACUGAGACACGGUCCAGACUCCUACGGGAGGCAGCAGUAGGGAAUCUUCCGCAAUGGGCGAAAGCCUGACGGAGCAACGCCGCGUGAGUGAUGAAGGUCUUCGGAUCGUAAAACUCUGUUAUUAGGGAAGAACAUAUGUGUAAGUAACUGUGCACAUCUUGACGGUACCUAGUCAGAAAGCCACGGCUAACUACGUG
RNAcentral lists this ribosomal RNA (497 nucleotides) under uncultured bacterium. RNAcentral's name for it is "partial 16S ribosomal RNA". It matches the Rfam family "Bacterial small subunit ribosomal RNA", at positions 28 to 507 of the family's 1533-position model. The record is from RNAcentral.